CUGGCUCAGGAUGAACGCUGGCGGCGUGCUUAACACAUGCAAGUCGAACGGAAACUACUCGCUGAAGCGAGCUUGCUCAAUUCUUGAGUAGUUUUAGUGGCGGACGGGUGAGUAACGCGUGGGUAACCUGCCAUGUACUGGGGGACAACAGUUGGAAACGACUGCUAAUACCGCAUAAG
This 179-nucleotide ribosomal RNA is filed under the name Lachnospiraceae bacterium G11. Its description in RNAcentral is "16S rRNA. Bacterial SSU". It matches the Rfam family "Bacterial small subunit ribosomal RNA", at positions 19 to 177 of the family's 1533-position model. The record is from RNAcentral. Lineage: Bacteria; Bacillati; Bacillota; Clostridia; Lachnospirales; Lachnospiraceae.